RNAcentral lists this ribosomal RNA (909 nucleotides) under Limosilactobacillus fermentum. RNAcentral describes it as "bacterial SSU rRNA". It matches the Rfam family "Bacterial small subunit ribosomal RNA", at positions 554 to 1462 of the family's 1533-position model. Lineage: Bacteria; Bacillati; Bacillota; Bacilli; Lactobacillales; Lactobacillaceae. The record is from RNAcentral.
UUGGGCGUAAAGAGAGUGCAGGCGGUUUUCUAAGUCUGAUGUGAAAGCCUUCGGCUUAACCGGAGAAGUGCAUCGGAAACUGGAUAACUUGAGUGCAGAAGAGGGUAGUGGAACUCCAUGUGUAGCGGUGGAAUGCGUAGAUAUAUGGAAGAACACCAGUGGCGAAGGCGGCUACCUGGUCUGCAACUGACGCUGAGACUCGAAAGCAUGGGUAGCGAACAGGAUUAGAUACCCUGGUAGUCCAUGCCGUAAACGAUGAGUGCUAGGUGUUGGAGGGUUUCCGCCCUUCAGUGCCGGAGCUAACGCAUUAAGCACUCCGCCUGGGGAGUACGACCGCAAGGUUGAAACUCAAAGGAAUUGACGGGGGCCCGCACAAGCGGUGGAGCAUGUGGUUUAAUUCGAAGCUACGCGAAGAACCUUACCAGGUCUUGACAUCUUGCGCCAACCCUAGAGAUAGGGCGUUUCCUUCGGGAACGCAAUGACAGGUGGUGCAUGGUCGUCGUCAGCUCGUGUCGUGAGAUGUUGGGUUAAGUCCCGCAACGAGCGCAACCCUUGUUACUAGUUGCCAGCAUUAAGUUGGGCACUCUAGUGAGACUGCCGGUGACAAACCGGAGGAAGGUGGGGACGACGUCAGAUCAUCAUGCCCCUUAUGACCUGGGCUACACACGUGCUACAAUGGACGGUACAACGAGUCGCGAACUCGCGAGGGCAAGCAAAUCUCUUAAAACCGUUCUCAGUUCGGACUGCAGGCUGCAACUCGCCUGCACGAAGUCGGAAUCGCUAGUAAUCGCGGAUCAGCAUGCCGCGGUGAAUACGUUCCCGGGCCUUGUACACACCGCCCGUCACACCAUGAGAGUUUGUAACACCCAAAGUCGGUGGGGUAACCUUUUAGGAGCCAGCCGCCUAAGG